Molecule: long non-coding RNA, 685 nt
Organism: Hippopotamus amphibius kiboko
Lineage: Eukaryota; Metazoa; Chordata; Mammalia; Artiodactyla; Hippopotamidae
Exons: 3
Source: RefSeq, a predicted model, not a curated record
CCUGCCCCUUUGCUCUGCAGUCAAUAGAGAGGCAGCAGGAAAGGCAGGAGUUAGCCAGAUGCCCAGCGAACAAGGAGGAUGCCCAGCAGGAAUUGUUUGAAGCCACUGCCCUGAGGACUUGCCACAGCCACUUACCUCUCCUGCACCUUCCCCAGGAUCCAGCUCUGAGCAGUUGCCAUUCGCUCAGAUUCUUCUCUGGAAGAAGUGGUACUUUGCAGCAAAGAAGAAAGAGAAGACAAGUGGCUGGUCCAGGUACCUUUGGUGAAUGCUGAGUACAUGGAGAUGGUGGAUACAGUGGAUACAGAGACCUCACAGAGGAUGGGUGGAAAACAGAGUUCGCCUCUGACUAGGAGAGUCAGAGCUUCUGCUGAUAACAGGAUUCUCUGAUCAUCCAGGCUUAAAACCUGACAGUCAUCCCUGACCCCUCCUGUUCCCUUGCUCCCAGCUCCAGUCACCAAGCACCUCGAUUCUGCUGUAGUAUGAUGCCUCUCACAUCCUUUCCAUUCCGUGCAUGCCUCAUGCAAACACUGCAUUUCAAGUUCUCAUUACCUCAUGUCUGGAUCAUUUCAAGAGCCUCUUAGCUCUUCUCCCAGCCUCCAUGUCUCUAAGUCAUCCUUCCCACAACCACCACAUUAUUCCUAUAGAAACUGCUUCCAUCAUGUGAUUUCACUGUUCAAACCCUGCU